AGGGCGUUUUUUUAGUGUUUGUGUUCUUCUGACAUCGACGUAAUGAUUAAUAGGGGCAGUCGGGGGCAUGAGUAUUCAAAUGUCAGAGGUCAAAUUGUUGGAUCUAUUGAAGACUAACUACUGCGAAAGCAUUUGCCAAGGAUGUUUUCAUUGAUAAGGAACGAAAGUUAGGGGAUCGAAGACGAUCAGAUACCGUCGUAGUCUUAACUAUAAACUAUGCCGACUAGGGAUCGGACGAUGUUAUUCUUUGACGCGUUCGGCACCUUUCGAGAAAUCAAAGUGCUUGGGCUCCAGGGGGAGUAUGGUCGCAAGGCUGAAACUUAAAGAAAUUGACGGAAGGGCACCACCAGGGGUGGAACCUGCGGCUUAAUUUGACUCAACACGGGGAAACUCACCAGGUCCAGACACAGUGAG
RNAcentral lists this ribosomal RNA (414 nucleotides) under Lomentospora prolificans. Its description in RNAcentral is "Scedosporium prolificans Eukaryotic small subunit ribosomal RNA". It matches the Rfam family "Eukaryotic small subunit ribosomal RNA", at positions 823 to 1237 of the family's 1831-position model. Lineage: Eukaryota; Fungi; Ascomycota; Sordariomycetes; Microascales; Microascaceae. The record is from Rfam by way of RNAcentral.